This 3753-nucleotide long non-coding RNA is filed under the name Gallus gallus (chicken). RNAcentral's name for it is "lncRNA (ENSGALG00010020387.1)". Lineage: Eukaryota; Metazoa; Chordata; Aves; Galliformes; Phasianidae. The record is from RNAcentral.
CCCAGACUGAUCCUUUGCAUGGAUUUUGCUGCGCCUGUUUCCAAGGCUUAGAGCUCUUUAGGAGGUCUUGUUAUAAAUAUUCAGAUGUACAGAUUUUUAAUGAAGAGUUCGGUGGAUGCAUUCUAGAGGAUAAAUGGUCUGUGAAUGGAAACUUUUCUUCCUCAGAGUACAUCAACGUAGCAAUUGCUUGUAUGAAAAACUCUCCGAGACUCAAAUAAAGAGCAGCAGGAUGAGCUCCAAGGCCAGUAAGCCACUUGUAAAUACAAGUGGGCAUAGCAGCUUACAGAAGGCAGCCCAGUAUUUGUGCUGUUCUAAAGGCAUUGGGAACCAGCCAGCAGCUGAGCAGCAGCUAUUUGCAGAACUUGAAGAUCUACUCUUCGUUCUGCUUCUCUGCAAUUUGUCUCCAUUCCUAGACACCUGGUUCACACCCCCCAUACUCUGAUGAGCCACUCUUGGGCUACCGUUUCUUACAGCUGGCUGCUUUCAGCUGUUUCAAAUCUGGGCUGGAAUCACCUGGCUUUAAUUUAAGUAGCAAACAAAGGCAGCCUUCCCUAUGGGUGUGCUUUAGUUUCAUUGGGGUUGAGUUCCACAAAGAAGAAGUGCGCUGAGUGUGAUGCUUUAACAAAAGCAGCAUAUGUCCUAACAAGAAAUAAGGUCCUCUGCUGCUUUCUUCAUAUUGCCAUGCUGUCUUCAAAGGGCGCAUGGACAUCCAGGAGAUGGAUGCUCUGCAAAGCACCUAUGCCUGCAGGGAAAGCCGAAGGCGAAGAGCUGUGUCCUGGUGGCUAUUGCUUCUGUAACAACCACUCAGAUGAGGACUUCCCACGUUUUCCUCAGUGCCCCCGUGCUGCAGCUCUUCUUCAGGCUGGAAUGGUUGGGGUUCCUUCUGCAUCCAUCUGAUGUAGUGGCAUCUCAAAGGCUUUGCGCAGGUGUCCCUUGCUCCCAAGAGGAUGCUAUCAGGGGACAGCAGUGUCCAUGUCAAAUGUACAGACCUGAGGGCCAAAGGGUAAUUAAAAACAUCAUGAAAGUAAUUUGGUCGCUGAACCUGCUGUGGGUCCUGGGCAUCUUAAGGAGCAAAUACCACCAUGGUUUUUUCCCCUCAGGAAUACAAGGCUAACAGGACAACAGCUCAUCUGUGCAAAGCCCUGACUGCUCUCAAUUUGAAAAAAGCCUGUAGCUGAAUCUGCUGCAGUUUUAUAACACAACCACUAUUAAUGUAGCUGUCCAAACAGUUUGUAGGUUAGGGAAAAGAGAAAACUGCAGUACCAGUUCAUUUGUAGGAAGAUCGGAGGAGCAGCACCAGUGCCAUGUCUACAUGCCUUGGAGGGACCUGCUGUGCCAUACAACCAGCACACUUCCUCUACUGAUAUAUAGAGAGUUUAUAUGCAUAUAUAGGUAUGCAUCAGUGUCACAAAGAUUGUAAAAGGAUGGGGGCGUCUAAUGCACUGGUGAUGCAGUGGCACAGCUGCGCUGGAGUGGUGGGGUCACCAUCCCUGGAGGUGUUUCAGAACCAUGGAGAUGUCGCACUGAGGGAUGUGGGCAGCGGGCAUGGUGAGCUGGGCUGGGGUUGGGCUCGGGGGUCUUGGAGAGCUUUUCCUGAAUGAUUCUGUGAGCCUAUGAUCUCUCAUAGAAGGACAGGCUGAGAGAGCUGGCACUGCUCAGCCUGGAGAAGGCUCAGGGGGAUCCCAUCCACAUGUAUAAAUACCUGAUGGGGGCAAUAAGAUGGAACCAUUCUCUUCUCAGUGUUGCCCCAAUGAGGCAACAGGACAGGAAGCAAUGGACAAAGAUGAAAAUAAAACAAAAGUAACAAAAAAAUCCUACAAAAACAAACAAACAAACAAAAAAACAGCAAAAUCAAUCAGGAAAUUCCAUUUAAACAUAAGAAAAUCCUUCUUUAAAUUGCCACCUUGUUUGAACAUGGGAGCAGUUGCACAUUGAGGUGGUGGAUUCUCUGUCCCUGGAGAUGGACAACGCCAGGCUGGAAGCACUGGACAACCUGCUCCAACCAGCCCCGCUCUUUUUGGACCAGACAGUCUCUAGAGCUGCCUCCAGACUCAGUGCAUUUAUUUUAUGUUUCUGUAAUGAUUCUAUAAACUUUGUUUUUCCAAAAACGAUAGUGGGUUUAUCCUGCACAACUUUUAAAUCUGGUAGCUUGUUACAUUUUGUAGCUUCAUUUUGGUCCAUGGGAAGCAUAUUCCUGUGGAUGAAAGAGAUGCAGGGUUUAUUAAUCUGUCCAUUUUACAUUAACUAUCUGGGCAAAAUGAUAGGCAUUUCUUAUUUGAAACUUGUUAUAAAGAAACAUAUGGUCACGUACAUGAAGUGAGAAUAAUUUCAAGUUUGAAAUUCCAUCUAGACGCAGACAUGAAUACCCAAUAGCAACAAAGGAAAUUUGAAAGCAGUUUAGACUAAGCCUGGGGUAUAAUAAUCUGCAAAUGAAAUGCAAAUUCCUCUCAGCAGGAGUGCAAUAUGCUGUUGUCUCAACAGGGGUACUAUUUACUGUUGCUUUGGAAACGUGCAGGAGGGAAGCAUGGGCCAUUGCUUCGACAGAGGGUAAAGGCAGCUUGUACCUUUCUUCUGCUUGAAUUCCAAACCUGGCUUUUGGAAGUGGGCUGUUCACCCUAAUAGGAUGGGUUGUGCAAUAAUUAACAGUAAUUGCAUUCAUAUAAAGUCCUGUGGAAACCUCUGCUCACUCCUGGCCCUUCAUAUCACACAUCAGAACUGCCUUCCUGAUUCCCAACUUAACGCAGUCUUAGAGAUAUCCUCAUUGGGGAGCGAUGCUUAAACACUCCUACAUUCAUUAGAGCUGAACUAUCACUGUACUUCUGACAUCUCUCCAUUGCUGCUGGAUUGCUGGUAAGCAGCUUGACGGCUCUUUCAUCCACAAACAUUCCUCCCUUCAGCUGCUGGUACACAGCACUGUGCCUGGAAACCUUUCACACCUCCAUCUUUAUGGCCACAUAGAAGAAUCGUGUAACUAGAACUGCAAUCUGCAGCCGAUUGCAAUAGAAAAGGAAAUUAGUAUCCUGCAUUUAAUUAAUAUUUGUACUGAGAGAAUUGUUAAAAUCUAGCCAGCUGUUACCAUCCCUUUCAUUACUUUAAAUGUUGAUAACAUUUGUCUCAUACCAAAAAUACUUCAGCAACCAAAGCACUCAUGAAGACCGAUGGUGGAAAUUGAAAGAGAUUGUAUUUAUCACAGCAUCAAAGCUGCAAAUGCAGUGAGUGUGGAUGGGGGCGAGUUCUACUGUGCCAUACAACAGAAUCAGUACCAUUGCUCAGUGCUCCAAUAUUCUCAGAAAGAAAUGACUCCCAUGUUCAGAGAAACCAAACUUGUUUCUAAAGUGACAUAAAUUGUCAUUUCUUAAGUGAUCAGGCAAAAAAGUUAGAAGAAUAGUAACAACAAAAGACUGUCUGGAGAUACACUGUUGUUGUGUUUUAGUGAUUGUUGUUGUCAGUAUUUAACAUUAGAACAUCAUGCAGAACAAUGGCAGUUAAGGUUCUGGUUCCAUGUUACCGCCUUUUUGGGCAUUUUGUGUUCCCGGAGGGGAGGAGCGGCAUCCCCAGCGGACUUGGACAGAAGAGGAAGUAAGAUGGAGCUCUGGACUGGACCCCAGCCGCUCUCUGCCUCUGGCCGUCUUAGCCUGCCGUGGAGAAAAGCACGUGCUUCCCUAGCACUAUCGUGGUUUGACUCGUGCUUUAAAUACUCUCGGCUCUCUCAUUUUGUUUGAUUAAAUUUAGUAAAAUACCAUUCCUCCUCAG